ACUCAAAUGAAUUGACGGGGGCCCGCACAAGCAGCGGAGCGUGUGGUUUAAUUCGAGGCUACACGAAGAACCUUACCUAGGCUUGACAUAGUGGUGGUAACGACUGGAAACAGGAGUGACCUUCGGGAGCCACUACAGGUGCUGCAUGGCUGUCGUCAGCUCGUGUCGUGAGAUGUUCGGUUAAGUCCGAAAACGAGCGCAACCCCUAGAACGUGUUACAAGUGUCACUUUCGACUGCCCGGGGUAACUGGGAGGAAGGUGGGGAUGACGUCAAGUCAGCAUGGCCUUUAUGUCUAGGGCUACACACACGCUACAAUGGCCAAUACACUAGGAUGCCAAGCCGCGAGGCGGAGCGAAUCCAAUAAAGUUGGUCUCAGUUCGGAUUGCAGGCUGCAACUCGCCUGCAUGAAGUUGGAGUUGCUAGUAACCGUAGGUCAGCUAUACUGCGGUGAAUACGUUCCCGGGCCUUGCACACACCGCCCGU
This 484-nucleotide ribosomal RNA is filed under the name uncultured bacterium. RNAcentral's name for it is "partial 16S ribosomal RNA". It matches the Rfam family "Bacterial small subunit ribosomal RNA", at positions 899 to 1397 of the family's 1533-position model. The record is from RNAcentral.